GAUUCCCCUAGUAACUGCGAGUGAAGCGGGAAAAGCUCAAAUUUAAAAUCUGGCGGUCUUUGGCCGUCCGAGUUGUAAUCUAGAGAAGUGUUACCGUGCCGGACCGUGUAUAAGUCUCCUGGAAUGGAGCGUCAUAGAGGGUGAGAAUCCCGUCUUUGACACGGACUCCCGGGGCUUUUGUGGUGCGCUCUCAAAGAGUCGAGUUGUUUGGGAAUGCAGCUCAAAAUGGGUGGUAAAUUCCAUCUAAAGCUAAAUAUUGGCGAGAGACCGAUAGCGAACAAGUACCGUGAGGGAAAGAUGAAAAGAACUUUGGAAAGAGAGUUAAACAGUACGUGAAAUUGCUGAAAGGGAAACGCUUGAAGUCAGUCGCGUUGGCUGGAAAUCAACCUUGCUUUUGUUUGGUGUACUUUCUAGUUGACGGGCCAGCAUCAGUUUUGACCGGUGGAAAAAGUUCAAGGGAAUGUGGCAUCUUCGGAUGUGUUAUAGCCCUUGGUCAUAUACAUCGGUUGGGACUGAGGAAUUCAGCACGCCGCAAGGCCGGGUUUCGACCACGUUCGUGCUUAGGAUGCUGGCAUAAUGGCUUUAAUCGACCCGUCUUGAAACACGGACCAAGGAGUCUAACAUGCCUGCGAGUGUUUGGGUGGUAAACCCGAACGCGUAAUGAAAGUGAAAGUCGGGAUCCUUGUCAUGGGGAGCACCGACGCCCGGACCUGAAGUUUACGGACGGCUCCGAGGUAAANCAUGUAUGUUGGGACCCGAAAGAUGGUGANCUAUGCCUGAAUAGGGUGAAGCCAGAGGAAACUCUGGUGGAGGCUCGUAGC
This 821-nucleotide ribosomal RNA is filed under the name Coprinopsis cf. erythrocephala C154. RNAcentral's name for it is "eukaryotic LSU rRNA". It matches the Rfam family "Eukaryotic large subunit ribosomal RNA", at positions 73 to 881 of the family's 3401-position model. Lineage: Eukaryota; Fungi; Basidiomycota; Agaricomycetes; Agaricales; Psathyrellaceae. The record is from RNAcentral.